RNAcentral lists this ribosomal RNA (1575 nucleotides) under Borreliella californiensis. Its description in RNAcentral is "partial 23S ribosomal RNA". It matches the Rfam family "Bacterial large subunit ribosomal RNA", at positions 1 to 1542 of the family's 2925-position model. Lineage: Bacteria; Pseudomonadati; Spirochaetota; Spirochaetia; Spirochaetales; Borreliaceae. The record is from RNAcentral.
GGUCAAAGUAAUAAGAGUCUAUGGUGAAUGCCUAGGAGCUUUAAGGCGAAGAAGGUCGUGGUAAGCUGCGAAAAGCUUGGGGGAGAAGCAAACAUUUAUUGAUCCCAAGAUUACCGAAUGGAGUAAUCCAGCUAGCAAGAUGCUAGCUAUCUAUUAUUUAAAUAAUAGAGGCGAUACCAGGGGAAGUGAACCAUCUAAGUACCCUGAGGAAAAGAAAUCAAAGAGAUUCCCUUAGUAGUGGCGAGCGAAAAGGGAGUAGCCCAAACUUUAAAUGUGUCAAGCUGCAGAGCGUUGCAUUUAUGGGGUUGUAGGACGUUUAAGCUUAGUCUGUGAUAAGCAAAAAAGUUACAAAAUAUUUAUAUAGAAGAAUAAUCUGGAAAGUUUAACCAAAGAAGGUGAUAGUCCUGUAAUUUAAAUGUAAAUAUCUUUUUAAAAUGUUCCUGAGUAGGACGAGGCACGAGAAACCUUGUUUGAAGCUGGGGAGACCACUCUCCAAGGCUAAAUACUAAAAAGCUACCGAUAGAGAAGAGUACCGUGAGGGAAAGGUGAAAAGAACCCCGGGAGGGGAGUGAAAUAGAACUGAAACCGUAGACUUACAAGCAGUCAAAGCCGUAAUUUAUUGCGGUGAUGGCGUGCCUUUUGCAUAAUGAACCUGCGAGUUAUCAUGUCUAGCAAGAUUAAAGCAUAGAAGUGCUGGAGUCGAAGCGAAAGCGAGUCUUAAAAGGGCGAUUUAGUUAGAUGUGGUAGACCCGAAGCCGAGUGAUCUAUUUAUGGCCAGGCUGAAGCUUGGGUAAAACCAAGUGGAGGGCCGAACUCUAGUCUGUUUAAAAAGGCAGGGAUGAGCUGUGAAUAGGAGUGAAAGGCUAAACAAACUCGGAGAUAGCUGGUUCUCCCCGAAAUGGAUUUAAGUUCAGCCUUAUUUUAGUUUAAUAGAGGUAGAGCACUAAUUGAGCUAGGGCCUGUCAAAAGGUACCAAACUCAGUUAAACUCCGAAUGCUAUUAAAUGAUGGAUAGGAGUGAGACUAUGGGCGAUAAGGUUCAUAGUCGAGAGGGAAACAACCCAGAUCAACAGCUAAGGUCUCAAAAAUGUGUUAAGUGGAAAAGGAGGUUUAGGUACGUAAACAGCCAGGAGGUUGGCUUAGAAGCAGCCAUACCUUUAAAGAGUGCGUAAUAGCUCACUGGUCGAGUACUUAAGUGCCGAUAAUGUAACGGGGCUAAACACAUUACCGAAGCUUUGGAUCUUAACAAAAGUUAAGAUGGUAGGGGAGCGUUCUGUAAGCCAGAGAAGUUAAACUGAAAAGUUUGAUGGAGGUAUCAGAAGUGAGAAUGCAGGUAUGAGUAACGAAAAAAUGGGUGAGAUUCCCAUUCGCCGAAAACCUAAGGUUUCCUGGGUGAAGGUCGUCUUCCCAGGGUUAGUCGGCCCCUAAGGCAAAGCUGAAAAGUGUAGUCGAUGGGAAACGGGUUAAUAUUCCCGUACCUCUUAUAGUUUCGAUGGAGUGACGCAUGAGGUUAACUACUGCUAGGCGAUGGUUGUCCUAGUUUAAGCAUUAAGGUGAUGAUCUUAAUAGGAAAAUC